RNAcentral lists this long non-coding RNA (386 nucleotides) under Sorghum bicolor (sorghum). Its description in RNAcentral is "long non-coding RNA (SBIC_LNC009609)". Lineage: Eukaryota; Viridiplantae; Streptophyta; Magnoliopsida; Poales; Poaceae. The record is from RNAcentral.
AAAUUCCUUUUGGUUCCCAUUAUUCUGGGAUGAGGAUGACUCUCCAUUGAGUAAGUGUAUACUACUAUUCUGAAAUGCCUGUCCAGGUAAAGAAUUUCCAUUAUUCUGGGAUGACUCUCCUUCAAGUAAGUGUAUACUACUACUCUGAAAUGCCUGUCCAGGUAAAGAAUUUCCAUUAUUCUGGGAUGACUCUCCUUCAAAUAAGUGUAUACUACUAUUCUGAAAUGCUUGUCCAGGUAAAGAAUUUCCAUUAUUCUGGGAUGACUCUCCUUCAAGUAAGUGUAUACUACUACUCUGAAAUGCCUGUCCAGGUAAAGAAUUUCCAUUAUUCUGGGAUGAUUCUCCAUCAAGUAAGUGUAUACUACUGCUCUGAAAUGCCUGUCCAG